UGCUUAAUACAUGCAAGUCGAACGAAGCACCUUACCGGAUUUUCUUCGGAGAUGAAGGUUUUGUGACUUAGUGGCGGACGGGUGAGUAACGCGUGGGUAACCUGCCUCAUGCAGGGGGACAACAGCUGGAAACGGCUGCUAAUACCGCAUAAGCGCACGGCAUCGCAUGAUGCAGUGUGAAAAGAUUUAUCGGCAUGAGAUGGACCCGCGUCUGAUUAGAUAGUUGGUGGGGUAACGGCCCACCAAGUCGACGAUCAGUAGCCGGCUUGAGAGAGUGACCGGCCACAUUGGGACUGAGACACGGCCCAGACUCCUACGGGAGGCAGCAGUAGGGAAUAUUGCACAAUGGGGGAAACCCUGAUGCAGCGACGCCGCGUGAGUGAAGAAAUAUUUCGGUAUGUAAAGCUCUAUCAGCAGGGAAGAUAAUGACGGUACCUGACUAAGAAGCCCCGGCUAACUACGUGCCAGCAGCCGCGGUAAUACGUAGGGGGCAAGCGUUAUCCGGAUUUACUGGGUGUAAAGGGAGUGUAGGCGGCAUGGCAAGUCAGAUGUGAAAACCCGCGGCUCAACUGCGGGACUG
RNAcentral lists this ribosomal RNA (580 nucleotides) under uncultured rumen bacterium. RNAcentral's name for it is "bacterial SSU rRNA". It matches the Rfam family "Bacterial small subunit ribosomal RNA", at positions 45 to 623 of the family's 1533-position model. The record is from RNAcentral.